CAACAAUGCGCACAUCGAAAGCCUGAUUACGACUUGGUUAUCGAGGAACAGAGUGUUGUUCUGAGAAAGCUAAGAUUGUGAUCAGGCGGCGGCCAGACAACCGUAGUGAUGGUAUCCACAGAUGGCGGGUCCUGUAAUCCCGCUUUUUUUCUACUGAUUCCAUCUCACAUUU
Tripterygium wilfordii is the source of this 172-nucleotide small nucleolar RNA. RefSeq annotates it as small nucleolar RNA snoR143. The record is from RefSeq and is a predicted model, not a curated record. The transcript has a single exon. NCBI's taxonomy places the organism in Eukaryota, Viridiplantae, Streptophyta, Magnoliopsida, Celastrales, Celastraceae.